UGGGGUAUAGCUCUAUGGUAGAGCACUUACCUAGCAUGUGUGAGUCCCUAGGUUCAAGACCAGUACCACAA
RNAcentral lists this transfer RNA (71 nucleotides) under Ictidomys tridecemlineatus (thirteen-lined ground squirrel). RNAcentral describes it as "Spermophilus tridecemlineatus (thirteen-lined ground squirrel) tRNA". It matches the Rfam family "tRNA". Rfam says of the family: Transfer RNA (tRNA) molecules are approximately 80 nucleotides in length. The record is from Rfam by way of RNAcentral. RNAcentral also lists the same sequence under 1 other name. Lineage: Eukaryota; Metazoa; Chordata; Mammalia; Rodentia; Sciuridae.